RNAcentral lists this unclassified non-coding RNA (171 nucleotides) under uncultured fungus. RNAcentral's name for it is "sequence contains ITS1". Lineage: Eukaryota; Fungi. The record is from RNAcentral.
GUCUACGAUUAACUAGAGUAUCACUAGGUGUUGUCAAUCAAAAGUGUGUGUGUGACACCAUUCCUAAAAGCAAGUCCUGUAAGAGCUACACCCUCACAAAAAAUACCCUAGGAAUAGGCCGUUAGUGUUGAAUAUUUGUUAAUGAUCCUUCCGCAGGUUCACCUACGGAAA